Molecule: small nuclear RNA, 99 nt
Filed under: Nicotiana sylvestris (wood tobacco)
Lineage: Eukaryota; Viridiplantae; Streptophyta; Magnoliopsida; Solanales; Solanaceae
Also listed under: 1 other name
Source: RNAcentral
AUUCCUUCGGGGACAUCAGAUAAAAUUGGAACGACACAAAGAAGAUUAGCAUGACCCGUGCGCAAGAAUGACAAGCUGAUCUUGUGAAAAAAUGGUCUA